This 469-nucleotide ribosomal RNA is filed under the name uncultured bacterium. RNAcentral's name for it is "partial 16S ribosomal RNA". It matches the Rfam family "Bacterial small subunit ribosomal RNA", at positions 28 to 507 of the family's 1533-position model. The record is from RNAcentral.
GACGAACGCUGGCGGCGUGCUUAACACAUGCAAGUCGAACGGAAAGGCCCUGCUUGCAGGGUGCUCGAGUGGCGAACGGGUGAGUAACACGUGGGUGAUCUGCCCCUUACUUUGGGAUAAGCCUGGGAAACUGGGUCUAAUACUGGAUAGGACCAUGCUGUAGGUGGUGUGGUGGAAAGAUUAGUUUCGGUAAGGGAUGAGCUCGCGGCCUAUCAGCUUGUUGGUGGGGUAAUGGCCUACCAAGGCGUCGACGGGUAGCCGGCCUGAGAGGGUGGACGGCCACAUUGGGACUGAGAUACGGCCCAGACUCCUACGGGAGGCAGCAGUGGGGAAUAUUGCACAAUGGGCGCAAGCCUGAUGCGGCGACGUCGCGUGGGGGAUGACGGCCUUCGGGUUGUAAACUCCUUUCAGCCAUGACGAAGCCCUUGUGGUGACGGUAGUGGUAGAAGAAGCACCGGCUAACUACGUG